UACGGGGGGAGCAAGCGUUGUUCGGAUUUACUGGGCGUAAAGGGCGUGUAGGCGGCCACCGCAAGUCGACUGUGAAAUCUCCGGGCUUAACUCGGAAAGGUCAGCCGAUACUGCGGGGCUAGAGUGCAGAAGGGGCAACUGGAAUUCUCGGUGUAGCGGUGAAAUGCGUAGAUAUCGAGAGGAACACCUGUGGCGAAGGCGGCUACCUGGCCCAAUACUGACACUCAGGUGCGACAGCGUGGGGAGCAAACAGG
Molecule: ribosomal RNA, 254 nt
Filed under: uncultured bacterium
Lineage: Bacteria
Description: partial 16S ribosomal RNA
Rfam family: Bacterial small subunit ribosomal RNA
Source: RNAcentral